This 292-nucleotide ribosomal RNA is filed under the name uncultured bacterium. RNAcentral's name for it is "partial 16S ribosomal RNA". It matches the Rfam family "Bacterial small subunit ribosomal RNA", at positions 505 to 796 of the family's 1533-position model. The record is from RNAcentral.
GUGUCAGCAGCCGCGGUAAUACAGAGGGUGCAAGCGUUAAUCGGAAUUACUGGGCGUAAAGCGCGCGUAGGCGGCUGUCUAAGUCGGGUGUGAAAGCCCCGGGCUCAACCUGGGAACUGCAUUCGAUACUGGACGGCUAGAGUAUGAGAGAGGGAGGUAGAAUUCCACGUGUAGCGGUGAAAUGCGUAGAUAUGUGGAGGAAUACCGGUGGCGAAGGCGGCCUCCUGGUUCAAUACUGACGCUGAGGUGCGAAAGCGUGGGGAGCAAACAGGAUUAGAUACCCCCGUAGUCC